UACGUAGGGGGCAAGCGUUGUCCGGAUUUAUUGGGCGUAAAGAGCUCGUAGGUGGUUCGGUAAGUCGGAUGUGAAAUCUCCAGGCUCAACCUGGAGGGGUCAUUCGAUACUGCCGUGACUAGAGUUCGGUAGGGGAGUGUGGAAUUCCUGGUGGAGCGGUGAAAUGCGCAGAUAUCAGGAGGAACACCGGUGGCGAAGGCGGCUUGCUGGGCCUUACCUGACGCUGAGGAGCGAAAGCGUGGGGAGCGGACAGG
RNAcentral lists this ribosomal RNA (254 nucleotides) under uncultured bacterium. Its description in RNAcentral is "partial 16S ribosomal RNA". It matches the Rfam family "Bacterial small subunit ribosomal RNA", at positions 524 to 776 of the family's 1533-position model. The record is from RNAcentral.